AGGAGCCAUUUGAGGAUGGCUUCGCCAACGGGGAUGAGCUGUCACCGGCCGAGGAGGCCGCAGCCAAGGAGGCGGCCGAGCCUAAGGGAGCGGUCAAGUUCGGGUGGAUCAAAGGGGUGCUGGUGCGCUGCAUGUUGAACAUUUGGGGCGUGAUGCUCUUCAUCCGCAUGUCAUGGAUCGUGGGCCAGGCGGGAAUUGUUCUCUCCUGUGUGAUCGUUCUCAUGGCAACAGUUGUGACCACCAUCACUGGCCUUUCGACCUCAGCGAUUGCGACUAACGGCUUUGUACGAGGAGG
Long non-coding RNA from Oncorhynchus gorbuscha (pink salmon), 295 nucleotides. RefSeq lists it as uncharacterized. Lineage: Eukaryota; Metazoa; Chordata; Actinopteri; Salmoniformes; Salmonidae. The record is from RefSeq and is a predicted model, not a curated record. The transcript is spliced from 3 exons.